GGAGGGGCUGUGUUUAUUAGAUACAAAACCAACCCACUUUUGGUGGAGUCUGGGUGAUUCAUAGUAACCGAACGGAUCGCAGUUGGCUUCGGCCCGCGAUAUAUCUUUCAAGUUUCUGACCUAUCAGCUUUCGACGGUAGGGUAUUGGCCUACCGUGGCAGUGACGGGUAACGGGGAAUUAGGGUUCGAUUCCGGAGAGGGAGCCUGAGAAACGGCUACCACAUCUAAGGAAGGCAGCAGGCGCGCAAAUUACCCAAUGAAAACAGCUUCGAGGUAGUGACGAGAAAUAACAAUACAGGGCAUUUUUUGUUCUGUAAUUGGAAUGAUGGGAAUGUAAAACCCUUUCAGAGUAACAAUUGGAGGGCAAGUCUGGUGCCAGCAGCCGCGGUAAUUCCAGCUCCAAUAGUGUAUAUUAGAGUUGUUGCAGUUAAAAAGCUCGUAGUUGGAUUUCUGUCGUGGUCAUCCGGUUCCGCCCGUAUGGGUGUGCACCUGGUUUGCCCUCGGCUUUCUUCCGUUAGCCUUCCGGCGCUUCAUUGCGUCUGUGUUGGUGUUUCGGAACUUUUACUUUGAGAAAAAUAGAGUGUUUCAAGCAGGCUUGUCGCCCUGAAUACUGCAGCAUGGAAUAAUAAGAUAGGACCUUGGUUCUAUUUUGUUGGUUUCUAGGACUAAGGUAAUGAUUAAUAGGGACAGUUGGGGGCAUUCGUAUUUAACUGUCAGAGGUGAAAUUCUUAGAUUUGUUAAAGACGAACUACUGCGAAAGCAUUUGCCAAGGAUGUUUUCAUUAAUCAAGAACGACAGUAGGGGGUUUGAAGACGAUUAGAUACCGUCGUAAUCUCUACCAUAAACUAUGCCGACUAGAGAUAGGGAAAUGCCUACCUUGGCUUCUCCUGCACCUCAUGAGAAAUCAAAGUCUCUGGGUUCUGGGGGGAGUAUGGUCGCAAGGCUGAAACUUAAAGGAAUUGACGGAAGGGCACCACCAGGCGUGGAGCCUGCGG
Molecule: ribosomal RNA, 995 nt
Filed under: Eimeria apionodes
Lineage: Eukaryota; Apicomplexa; Conoidasida; Eucoccidiorida; Eimeriidae
Description: SSU rRNA
Rfam family: Eukaryotic small subunit ribosomal RNA
Source: RNAcentral